RNAcentral lists this long non-coding RNA (288 nucleotides) under Ananas comosus (pineapple). RNAcentral describes it as "long non-coding RNA (ACOM_LNC020049)". Lineage: Eukaryota; Viridiplantae; Streptophyta; Magnoliopsida; Poales; Bromeliaceae. The record is from RNAcentral.
GAUGCAAAUGGAUCCGGGUUGGUGGAGCUCCGCCCCGAUCCGCCCCGAAUGGGGUGGUAAGUGGGAACAAAAAAUAUAGAAAAAUAUAACCCGCCCCGAAUCCGCCCCGAUCCGCCAAGUAAAUGGAGCGGGAGGCGGGAGACUCUUUUCUUCCUUCAAUCUACCCCGAUCCGUUAAAAAUCUGCUCCCGCCCCUCUCCCGCCCCGAUCCGCCUCGAAUGGAGCGGUAAGUAGGAGCCAAAAAUAAAAUGAAAAGUAACCUGCCCCGAAUCCGCCCCGCCCAGAUAAG